Molecule: ribosomal RNA, 544 nt
Filed under: uncultured Micromonas
Lineage: Eukaryota; Viridiplantae; Chlorophyta; Mamiellophyceae; Mamiellales
Description: bacterial SSU rRNA
Rfam family: Bacterial small subunit ribosomal RNA
Source: RNAcentral
GAGUCUUCGGACUGCGGAAGAGUGGCGAACGGGUGAGGAACACGUAAGAAUCUGCCCCUCGGUCGGGGACAACUCUUGGAAACGAGAGCUAAUACCCGAUACGCUGUGGAGUGAAAGAAUUUCGCCGAGGGAUGAUCUUGCGUCUGAUUAGCUAGUUGGUGUGGUAACUGCACACCAAGGCGACGAUCAGUAGCUGGUCUGAGAGGAUGGACAGCCACAUUGGAACUGAGACACGGUCCAAACUCCUACGGGAGGCAGCAGUGGGGAAUUUUCCGCAAUGGACGAAAGUCUGACGGAGCGACGCUGCGUGAAGGAUGACGGCCCGCGGGUUGUAAACUUCUUUUCUCGAAGAAGAAACAAAUGACGGUAUUCGAGGAAUAAGCAUCGGCUAACUCCGUGCCAGCAGCCGCGGUAAGACGGAGGAUGCAAGUGUUAUUCGGAAUGAUUGGGCGUAAAGAGUCUGUAGGCUGUAUAGAAAGUCUUUUGUUAAAUUCCUCGGCUCAACCGAGAUCAAGCAAAGGAAACUUCUAUACUUGAGGGAAGU